GAUGAACGCUGGCGGCGUGCCUAAUACAUGCAAGUCGAGCGAACAGACGAGGAGCUUGCUCCUCUGACGUUAGCGGCGGACGGGUGAGUAACACGUGGAUAACCUACCUAUAAGACUGGGAUAACUUCGGGAAACCGGAGCUAAUACCGGAUAAUAUAUUGAACCGCAUGGUUCAAUAGUGAAAGACGGUUUUGCUGUCACUUAUAGAUGGAUCCGCGCCGCAUUAGCUAGUUGGUAAGGUAACGGCUUACCAAGGCAACGAUGCGUAGCGGACCUGAGAGGAUGAUAAGGCACAAUGGAACUGAGACCCGGUCGAGACUCCUACGGGAGGCAGCAGUGGGGAAUAGUGGAGAAGGGGCGCAAGACUGAUCCAGUCAUACCGCGUGGGUGAAGAAGGCCUUCGGGUUGUAAAGCCCUUUUGUUGGGAAAGAAAAGCAGCGGGUUAAUACACCGCGGUUCGGACGGUACACAAAGAAUAAGCACCGGCUAACUUCGUG
RNAcentral lists this ribosomal RNA (497 nucleotides) under uncultured bacterium. RNAcentral's name for it is "partial 16S ribosomal RNA". It matches the Rfam family "Bacterial small subunit ribosomal RNA", at positions 28 to 507 of the family's 1533-position model. The record is from RNAcentral.